RNAcentral lists this ribosomal RNA (598 nucleotides) under uncultured fungus. Its description in RNAcentral is "eukaryotic LSU rRNA". The stretch from base 216 to 369 matches the Rfam family "5.8S ribosomal RNA". Lineage: Eukaryota; Fungi. The record is from RNAcentral.
UAACAAAUAUGUGGGAUGCUCAAUAUGAGCUCCCAAAAUAAACACAUACAUGUGUAUCCUUCCAUGUUGCUUUCCCAGGCCAGUGGCCACUGCCACCAGCCAGUCCAUUAUUUGGUCUUCAGGUUGAGGUGCUUGGGAAAGGGCCAAUUAUCAAACUUCUUUAUAUUAACCUAUUGUCUGAUGAGGCUAUAUGCCGUAAUAUGUAAAUAUGUUAAAACUUUCAACAACGGAUCUCUUGGCUCUCGUAUCGAUGAAGAACGCAGCGAAAUGCGAUAAGUAAUGUGAAUUGCANAAUUCAGUGAAUCAUCGAAUCUUUGAACGCACAUUGCGCCCUUUGGUAUUCCUUAGGGCAUGCCUGUUCGAGCGUCAUAAACAAUCUGAUCACCAUAUGUGUGGUAUUGGCAGAAGUGGAUAUAGUCAAGAGUAUUANACUCCACUCUGCUGGAAUGAAUAGGCUGGAAAAGUAGAUCAUGGCAAUAGACUUUCANAGUAUUUUAGAAUGCUAAAUUAGUUUGGAGCUGAUCACAACCCAGGCCAGUUGACCCUCAUCCUGUGUAAAGCAGUAAGAAUGACCUCGGAUCAGGUAGGGAUACCCGCU